This 73-nucleotide transfer RNA is filed under the name Streptomyces sp. PVA_94-07. The record is from RNAcentral. Lineage: Bacteria; Bacillati; Actinomycetota; Actinomycetes; Kitasatosporales; Streptomycetaceae.
GCCCCGAGUACUUCGGCGCCAAGCCCCAACUGGUCCUGAAGUCCGGCUUCCCCGCCUACGGCGUCACCGGCGA